AUGAAUUGGUGCCUUCGGGAACUGUGAGACAGGUGCUGCAUGGCUGUCGUCAGCUCGUGUUGUGAAAUGUUGGGUUAAGUCCCGCAACGAGCGCAACCCUUAUCCUUUGUUGCCAGCGGUCCGGCCGGGAACUCAAAGGAGACUGCCAUUGAUAAACUGGAGGAAGGUGGGGAUGACGUCAAGUCAUCAUGGCCCUUACGACCAGGGCUACACACGUGCUACAAUGGCGCAUACAAAGAGAAGCGACCUCGCGAGAGCAAGCGGACCUCAUAAAGUGCGUCGUAGUCCGGAUUGGAGUCUGCAACUCG
RNAcentral lists this ribosomal RNA (308 nucleotides) under bacterium enrichment culture DGGE band A6. RNAcentral describes it as "bacterial SSU rRNA". It matches the Rfam family "Bacterial small subunit ribosomal RNA", at positions 1006 to 1314 of the family's 1533-position model. The record is from RNAcentral.